GUGCCUUCUUCCUUUCCCUGUUUGGUUGCUGUUCAAGUCGUUCGAAUCUAUCAACAGUUCGGGAAUCUGUCCAUCCGUCUUUGACGUGGCAAGAGGCACGGAGAGGGCCAUGUCCCUGAAAACGGAGAUUCCCCAUCUGGCGGUUAUGACCAGUAGCCAACAACAGCUUGGUCUAACAUGGAGUCAUCAUCCAUAUCAGAAAAAGAAAUGACAGCACAUCCUCUGGCAUCUCCAGCAACACAGUCCACAUCUUCAUCAGCCUACCAAGAACAACAACGUAAGGAUGGAGGCGCGCGAGUAGACUUUCCUGCACUGCAGGGCCAGUCUAGGAUGGGCCUAGAUCCUUGAGAACGAUCCAGCAAGUGCCAGGAUUAUGGGCCAACGCAAGUUCAAAGGGAUCUCCUCCGGCAUCUUACAAAUUAUGGAUACAACCGGAUUUAGGAGGUAUUGAAUUUCACAGGCUGAGAUUUCCACUUGAUUACCUUAACAAUUCAUCAAUAAGACAUAAGCUUUGGGGGGGGGUGUUAAAAGGCAUUCUUCCCGUCCCCCCUUCCUUAAAAUCUUAGCUUCAGUACUGACAUUUGAAAGUUGCCAGGAGAAAGGUGGAUUUGAAUUGUCGGGUUUUGCUGAGUUUUGGACCUGCAUGAAAUUUCAUUGCAGUGUAUACGCUGCUGCGCUCGGAAGCUCCGUCCUCCCCAAGGGCAUCUCUGUCUUAAACACCCAAUUGCACGACACCAGAAGGAAAGAGAGCAGCUCAGGGUACAAUGUCUGCAUCCAUUGUGAAAGCCAAGAAGAUGUGGUUGGGGGGGGGCAUACACAAUGGGCGCCAUUUAGCAUGCACACGCGCGCACACACAGCUAUUGGGAAUUUUUGAAAGAAGCCCUUUCACUGAGGAGUACUUUAAGAAACAGACUCUUUGCUUGGAAGCUCCUUGGGGCAGGAACCUGGGAAAAGAACUAGUUUCAACGCCGACAAUGUAUUUAUGGAGUGCCGUUUACUUUCGGUCCCUUACGGUCUUAAAAUUUGACACAAGGGAGGAAGUAGCAAAGGGGAGGAGGAAUUUGCUUUCAUUUCAGGCGCACACGUUCAAGCUUAGCUAAACCUUUAAAUGGGUUCCUUUUGACGGGCCAGGAUAUGCCAGCAUCACCCAGGGUGUUUGGGCAUGACCUCCCGAAAACCACACAAUACUCAACUGCUUUCUGCUGUUUUAAAACUGUCUUAUCUGGAAGAGUUUCAGCUGAUGUGCUCGUGUGGACAGCAGAUCCACUAAUACUAGGACGAUCUGGGUGCUAAGCUUCACUCAGUUAUGAAAAUCAACGCCAGUCGGCCUAACCUACCUCGCAGGGUUGUUGUGGGAACAAGGGUGCAGCAGCUGAACCCUGCGUGCCACGCUGAGCAGCAUAAACAUGCAAUAGUCAUUGUGGAGACUCAAAGAUCCCCACCUGUGUAUGGCCCUUGUAGGCAGUCAGUUCAACCACACAAGCAGACUAGGCGGCCACCUAGGGUGGCAGAAAUUCAGGGGCAGUUGCCACACAAGGAGCAGUGGGUUUUCUGCCACUUCCAGAAUGGCUACCUUCCUGUAAGGACAUGGCCCAGAAUCCCUUGCAGAGGACUCCAGGGCGCACACUCAGUUUUUUGCAGGGAUAUUAGCUCCUGCUGUCGCCCCAGGCCGAAAGGAACCUGGAGCCAGACCAGAGUGUAGGAGAUGCUUGGCUCGGGCAACUUUGGGCGUGUUUGCCAUGUUUCCUCCUCCGUCCUGAGGCCAGCUGCAGGGGGAUUGGCCCCAGUCAAAGGAAGGACAGGCUGUGUCUAGUCUAUGCUGUAAAACAGAAAAUCGAAAUUUUGCACUCAGAAUAGAUUUCUGUGGUCUGCGUAACUGGGGUGGGGGCAUACAGAGUUACACUGGACAUCUCAAAGUCCACCCACCCACCAGUCCUGUGGCGACAUUCCUACCUAGCUUCUAGUAUUUCAGCAGGGAUAACUCACAUAUUUUCAAGCCCAUGUUUGCUUUUAUAAGGACUAGAAACCUGAUGAGCAGAUGGAGUGCUAUUGCUAUAAGGUGGUUGGUUGUAUUCACUUUGUUCUGCGCGCACAGUUAUUCACACAAAAGGGAAAAAUGGGAGUAUCUUAGGCCUUGACACUCUAAAAACGCUGUAUAAAUAUCCUGUCCUGUAACUAUAGGCACACUUUCAAGGCGUACACAUAGGUCUGUUCUCAUACAAAUAUCACAAGUAGCCCCAAUAAGACCUUGAAGAAACUUCUCUCUCUUAGACCUUCAGUUUUACACACACAAAGACACACAUUUGCUUUCGCAAAGAUUCAAAGACGUUGCCCUCACCUCUACAUCCAUGUGUGGAUGUUGUCUUUCUAAUUUUCUUUAUUCCCUCCUGCUAGGCUGUAUCUCUCAGGAUUGGCCUAACUUAUUCACGGACUGAAGGUGUUUUUUUUUUUUUAUUAAAGAAAGCUCCAAACUUUUGGGAUUCUUCUAGCAUCUUUACCUCUCCUCCCUUCUCCUUUUUUUCCCUCUAGGGCUGAACAGCUAAAAUGAUUAAGAUUGUUGUGAAACUCAGAGGC
Molecule: long non-coding RNA, 2574 nt
Organism: Eublepharis macularius
Lineage: Eukaryota; Metazoa; Chordata; Lepidosauria; Squamata; Eublepharidae
Exons: 4
Source: RefSeq, a predicted model, not a curated record